Molecule: long non-coding RNA, 1663 nt
Organism: Helianthus annuus (common sunflower)
Lineage: Eukaryota; Viridiplantae; Streptophyta; Magnoliopsida; Asterales; Asteraceae
Exons: 6
Source: RefSeq, a predicted model, not a curated record
CUUUAGGUACUCCACAGUUCCCAUCUCCCCUAUAACCUGAUUUUUGAUUCUUAAAGAUUCCAUCAAUAACGAUGAAUCUCAUCUUCUCCCUAACCUGUUUUUUCGAUUCUUACCUCAAUCGACCAUAUCUCAUGACAUGGGAACUGCUGAGUUCAAAAAAUCUAUGGUUCGUUGUCAGAACUACAAGGUGAAAACGAAGAUUCAAGUUUAUUUGAGAUCCACCUAUGAAGAUUCAGAAACAGUUGAAGGCGACCAACGGUAUGGUUCGUUCAUAAUUAAUCGCUCGGAUCCGGCCAUGGGGAAGAUCGAACAACAUAUGUGUUAUAGGAUACAAUGGGAAUCGACUCAUAGGUGUGAAGGGUGGAAAUCACGGUCUGAUGAAGAGACUGGAAAGGUUCACGGAUCAUUGGAUCAUGCUGGAAAAGUGUGAGGCCAAACACUUAAGGUGGCCAAGCAGGACAAGAAGAAGCAGUGCGCCUUAGGGAUGCGCUCACAAGCGUAUUCAGUACAACCGUUUGAAUGAUAUAUAGGAUAUUUCGCGUCACUUUCGACCCGUUUGACCUGUUUCAAAAGUUUCAAUAAUAAUCAAGUUUUUCAAGUUACGCAUUUGAGCCGUUAAAGAGGUCGAAUAUGCACUUCUAUAAUGCUAAAGGUUCUAUUUAUAAUCUUGUAAUUUAAACUUGCAGAGAGCAUCAUGGAGCCAUACCAUAGGUACCUGCAUACAUACGUUUCUGUAUCGGGCCCACAUUUAGGUUAUCUCUACAGUUCCAAUUCUCUUUUCAAUUCUGGAUUAUGGCUGUUGAAGAAGCUUAAAAACACCUGUUGCAUUCAUCAGCCGACUUUCACUGAUGACAUAGAUCUCGAGAAUACCUUCUUCUACAAUCUAUCCAAGCAAAAGACUUUGGAAAGUUUCAAAAACAUAAUCCUGCUAUCAUCUCCUAAGGUCAUUUCAUCUUUGAAUACAUCCCUGCAUUUUAAUGGAGCCAUUAACGAUGAUAUUACAGAGUUCCAGACUAUUUUGUGCCAUACCAUUGUACCCAUUUCAUGCUUUCUUCAUAUGCACCUGUGAUCUCAGUUGAGAAAGCUUGCCAUCAGCAGCUUUCCGUUCUUAAAAUCACAAGUUCAGUUUUAGAGCCUGCAAGCAUGAUGGCUAAAUGUGAUCCUAGGCAUGGAAAUCUUAUGGCUUGUUGUUUGAUGUUCUGUGGAAACGUCGUUCCCAAAGAUGUCAAUGCUGGUGUUGCUACAAUCUAAACCCAAUGCACCGUGCAGUUUGCUGAUUGUUGACUAUCCGGUUGACAAGGUUUCAUGCUAUGUUUCUGAUGACGGAGCUGCUAUGUUGACUUUCGAAGCUCUGACCGAGUCUGAGUUUGCAAAAAAAUGGGUUUACUUUUGCAAGAAAUAUAACAUAGAGCCCCGAGCUCCUGAAUGGUAUUUUUGCCAAAAAAUUGACUACCUCAAACACAAACUUCAGCCAACUUUUGUCAAAGACCGUCGAGCUAUGAAGGUAGAAACCAUUUGACGCAAAUAAUCUUCAAUUCUUUACUAUUUCUCGAGUAAAAAUUGUUACUUUGUUCCUUUUUGGGCAGAGAGAAUAUGAAGAAUUCAAAAUUUAUGUAUCAUGUUUUUAUGGUAUUUUUAUUGCUAAUUGUGCAUUUUGCUUGAA